RNAcentral lists this non-coding RNA (223 nucleotides) under Phascolarctobacterium sp. Its description in RNAcentral is "T-box sequence". It matches the Rfam family "T-box leader". Rfam says of the family: Uncharged tRNA acts as the effector for transcription antitermination of genes in the T-box leader family. The record is from RNAcentral. Lineage: Bacteria; Bacillati; Bacillota; Negativicutes; Acidaminococcales; Acidaminococcaceae.
UUACAGGCUAUGAUAAAGACAGUAGCCGGCACGAAGCAGCGCAGCGAUUCCGGGACAGUGCAAGCCGGAACAGGACAGAAGGCCGGUGAAAAUCACUUUGGAGCUUCCGUACAGAAACAGCAGUAAGUACGGACGGGGUAACGCACGUUAACGGCGUUGAGAGUGGCGCGUAAAUACUGCGUCAUUAGGGUGGUACCACGGGUUAUACAGUCUCGUCCCUUUG